UUGUUCGUCCGUCCCGAGCGAGUCCGUACUCUGGGAUAGCAUGUGAAGUGUGUAAUAAUAACCAUGACUAGAGGCAGACUCGUUUGGGAAGGGCGGUG
Molecule: microRNA precursor, 98 nt
Filed under: Anopheles maculatus
Lineage: Eukaryota; Metazoa; Arthropoda; Insecta; Diptera; Culicidae
Source: RNAcentral